Molecule: long non-coding RNA, 368 nt
Filed under: Pan troglodytes (chimpanzee)
Lineage: Eukaryota; Metazoa; Chordata; Mammalia; Primates; Hominidae
Description: long non-coding RNA NONPTRT002162
Source: RNAcentral
CGGGCUUUUGACAUAGAUUGUCAAGAUUGUUUCAAUUAUACACUUGCAGUUAUUGAGGCUGAGAGAGGUGAAGCACCUUGCCUAAGGUCAUACAGCCAGUGUUCGAGCCCAGGUUUGAGACUUAAAUACCUCUCUACUAAAAGGGAAAUGGAGAAAAAGAUGCUGACUGCCAGGCUGGUUUCGGAUCCUUUGUAUUCUGUCAGAUGAGAACACUUGUUUACCUUCCAGGACUGACCUGAGCAUGAGUCGAAUUGCAUGAUCAGACCUGAGAAAGAAGAGAGACUUAAAAGAGAACAGGGUGAGGACUUCUGCAGCAGCAAAAUGACCAAUGAAGAGCUUGUGCCCCACUUUUCACUACAUGGAGGAAU